Molecule: long non-coding RNA, 326 nt
Organism: Vanessa tameamea
Lineage: Eukaryota; Metazoa; Arthropoda; Insecta; Lepidoptera; Nymphalidae
Exons: 3
Source: RefSeq, a predicted model, not a curated record
CCGUGGAGGGUGGAUGUGUUUUACGUUGUAAGUUUUCGAACGCGAUAUCGAAUAAGUUUUUGAAUUUAAUUUCUUUCGUUUGUUUUUCUUUUAUUGUGAAUAUUAGUGACCUUGACAUUAUUUACGAUGGAUUUGCGUGAAACUUUUAUGCAAGUGUGUUUUGUUUAGUAUUUGAGAUUUGAAUUGUUAGAAAAACCAAUCAACAUGACUGCGUUCUCGCUCAUUCUAUUGGCGUCUCUAUCGCUGAAUAUCCAUGCUCUCCGAGUGUACAAUACGAGGCAUGCUUCCAUUGUGGAAUCCCAUAUGCUGGAAAAUUCAAUCGGCGG